UACGAAGGGGGCGAGCGUUGUUCGGAUUUACUGGGCGUAAAGGGCGCGCAGGCGGCCAUUCAAGUCAGGCGUGAAAGCCCCGGGCUUAACCUGGGAGGUGCGUCUGGGACUGGGUGGCUAGAGAUCGGGAGAGGAGAGUGGAAUUCCCAGUGUAGAGGUGAAAUUCGUAGAUAUUGGGAAGAACACCGGUGGCGAAGGCGGCUCACUGGCCCGUAACUGACGCUCAUGCACGACAGCGUGGGGAUCAAACAGG
Molecule: ribosomal RNA, 253 nt
Filed under: uncultured bacterium
Lineage: Bacteria
Description: partial 16S ribosomal RNA
Rfam family: Bacterial small subunit ribosomal RNA
Source: RNAcentral